This is a long non-coding RNA of Nerophis ophidion (straightnose pipefish), 2513 nucleotides long. RefSeq lists it as uncharacterized. The record is from RefSeq and is a predicted model, not a curated record. Lineage: Eukaryota; Metazoa; Chordata; Actinopteri; Syngnathiformes; Syngnathidae. The transcript is spliced from 4 exons.
CACAAGUCACGACACAAACAUUCAGCCUUGCCUGAACUAAAAAGCGUCUUACUUUUAACUUUUAAAAUUUCAAUCAUCUGUGAAGACGUCGUUUCGAGUGUGUGCAAACAUUAGCCUUGUUUCAACCAGAGACCUGCACAAAAAGAUGGAUUUUCCGAAAAAAAAAAAAUACUUUUAAGGGUGAGCUCGGUGACUACUAUAUAUGGCAAUGUAGGAGACGAUGAAGCGGUUUUGUCAAGCUUGGACAUGGAUUCUGUGCGCUCCUUCGACGCAGAGGGAUUACAGGACGAGCCAGGCGUGAAUUAAGGAAGUUGGAGUGCACAGCUGCCUAAGUGAAACGUGUCGGACAAAACCUUUCGAGGAGCACUCCUUGUGUUUGUGUUCAAACAACAGCCAAAAAAAAGAUCUUCUGAAAACGCUUAGUGCUUAUUCAUGAGCACUAAUGUUGGGACGAAGGAUGGGGAUGAAAGGCGGAACAAAAGCUGUCAAAGCAGAGAAAGGAACCGAGAAGUGAGGAUAUCUGUCAUGGAUGCAAAGGACAAUGGGUUACUUUGUCCCCCGGUUUCAUUAUGGGCUUGUGUUUGAUUGGAAACAGGCGACUAAUCACAUGAGCAACCAUCUCUCCACAACUCUGCAAGCAUUGUCGUCUCCUGGAGGGAAUCAGCAUGAAGAUUCAUUUUUGGUCAGCAGAUGUAAAGUCCUUCCAUGUGAGCCAGCAAAGUGAUUGGGAUAUGCUUUACCAAGAACCAAGACACUGUGAUUUUCUUCUUUAUCAAAACCAUUCCAUUCAUCAUUGCAUGGUUCUAGGCAGUAGCAAUGAAAUGGUGGUCUUUUGGUUGGUACCCAACACAGUCGUCCCUCUCUACAUCGUAAGGAUGUCCCAAUAUUUUUUAUUUCGAUACUUUGAUGCUUUUCAAAAUAAAGAGGGCCACAAAACAUGUCAUUACUGGCUUUAUUUUAUCAUUUUUUAAGACCUGCUCAGUGGCCUUGUGGUUAGAGUGUCCGCCCUGAGAUCAGUAGGUCAUGAGUCAAACCGCAGUUGAGUCACACCAAAGACUAUGACAAUUAGGGCUGUGGGAAAAUAUUGAUUCGAAUAUGAAUUGAAUACAAUGUGCGAUUCAGAAUUGAAUCUCAUUUUUUUUUAAUUAUUAUUAUUUUUUUAAUCAAUCCAACAAACCACUACACAGCAAUACCAUAACAAUGCAAUCCAAUUCCAAAACCAAACCUGACCCAGCAACACUCAGAACAGCAAUAAACAGAGCAAUUGAGAGGAGACACAAACACGACUCAGAACAAACCAAAAGUAGUGAAACAAAAAUGAAUAUUAUCGACAACAGUAUCAAUAUUAGUUAUAAUUUCAGCAUAGCAGUGAUUAAAAAUCCCUUAUUGACAUUAUCAUUAGACAUUUAUAAAAAUAAAAAAAGAACAAUAGUGUCACAGUGGCUUACACUUGCAUCGCAUCUCAUGACCUUGACAACACACUUUGUCCAAUAUUUUCACAAAGAUAACAUAAGUCAUAUUUUGGCUUCGUUUAUAGUUAAAACAAAUUUGCAUUAUUGCAAUCAGUUGAUAAAACAUUAACCUUUACAAUUAUAAAAGCUUUUUUUUUUUAAAUCAACUACUUUGCUUGCAUGUCACCAGACUGGGGUAGAUCCUGCUGAGAUCCUAUGUAUUUAAGGAAUACAGAAUCGUUUUGAAUCGGAAAAAUAUGGUUUUUGAAUCGCGAAUCGAAUCGAAUUGAAUCGAAUUGAAUCGAUAUAUUAUCGAAUCGUGACCCUAAGAAUCGAUAUUGAAUCGAAUCGUGGGACACCCAAAGAUUCACAGCCCUAAUAACAAUGAUUGGUACAUUAACUUUACCUUAAAAAUGGGACCCAUUACUUCCCUGCUUGGCACUCAGCAUCAAGGGUUCAAAUUGGGGCUUAAAUCACCAAAAUGAAUCCUGAGCGCGGCCAUCUCUGCUGCUCACUGCUCCCCUCACCUCCCAGGGGGUGAACAUGGGGAUGGGUCCAAUGCAGAGGGUAAUUUCACCACACCCAGUGUGAUGUGUGACUAUCAGUGCUACCUUAAUUUUUACAGAAAAUCUUAUGAUACAUUAAACAUACCUUUCCUAUUACAAUCCAUCCAUCCAUUUUCUACCACUUAUUCCCUUUUGGGGUUGCGGGGGGGCGCUGGUGCCUAUCUCAGCUACAAUCGGGCGGAAGACGGUGUACACCCUGGACAAGUCGCCACCUCAUCGCAGGGCCAACACAGAUAGACAGACAACACUCACACUCACAUUCACACAUUAGGGCCAAUUUAGUGUUGCCAAUCAACCUAUCCCCAGGUGCAUGUCUUUGGAAGUGGGAGGAAGCCGGAGAACCCGGAGGGAACCCACACAUUCACGGGGAGAACAUGCAAACUCCAUACAGAAAGAUCCCGAGCCUGGGAUUGAACCCAGGACUGCAGAACCUUCGCAUUGUGAGGCAGACGCACUAACCCCUCUGCCACCGCGAAGCCCCUUCUUAUUGCAAUCA